CUUAAGCACUCUCAGAUUAUCUGCCACCUCUUCUUAUCCCCAACACCCAGGGAUGGCUCGGUCCCAGUCUGCCCCAGCCCAUGAGAUGCCCUAGAAGCCUCCCUCCCUGCAGGAACUUGCACAAGGAGAGCCUGGCCCUGUGCUUCUCUGCCCUCAGCCCUUGGAGAAGCUAGGCCUUAGCAGGGAGGGGCAGGUCUGAGAGGCGCCCCCACAGCCUCACCACCACUGCCCUCACCCUGCCUCCUGCCCUGAACUCGAGGAAGCUGCACCCAGAAGAAAAACUUGUGGGAUCCUCUCUGCCUGUCGCCAGCUGUGCAACCUUGGGCCUGAGAAACUCCUCCCUGUUUUAUAGGAAGAGAACCCAAAACCUAGAAGAGCGUGAGAGGGAAAAGAGGAAGGAGAUUGACUCCCAGGCCGGCAAAGAAGCCUUC
This 431-nucleotide long non-coding RNA is filed under the name Homo sapiens (human). RNAcentral describes it as "HSALNT0015417". The record is from RNAcentral. Lineage: Eukaryota; Metazoa; Chordata; Mammalia; Primates; Hominidae.